Long non-coding RNA from Apis laboriosa (Himalayan honeybee), 1386 nucleotides. RefSeq lists it as uncharacterized. Lineage: Eukaryota; Metazoa; Arthropoda; Insecta; Hymenoptera; Apidae. The transcript is spliced from 3 exons. The record is from RefSeq and is a predicted model, not a curated record.
CAACUUAGUGGCUGUUCAUGCGUAAUACUUGAAUUGUCUUUAAAUGGAAGAUAAAAGUUUCUCAGUGAAAAAUUUCAUCUGGUUUCGCGUUUUUUUUUUCAAUUUCUCUUAAAAGUGAGAAGUAAUUAAUUUGGCUGCAACUAAUUUCUAGUCAUAGUAACAGUUCUCAUUGGCGAUUGCCAAGCAUGCCGGGAAUCCGGUCAGAGACGCGCGAUAAUACGUGAUCACUAUAUUUAGUGUUGACUUAUGGCUCGUUAAAUCGAGAAACAGUGACGUUGGACUGAGGAGCUGAUGAUAAAGAAAAUGAUAAUAUGUAUGCAAAGAUUGGAGAAAUUGUUAUUCGUUUAUGAACGAACGAUUUAAAACUUCGAUCAAAAAUUCAUUCGAUGAUUCAAAGUAGUGGCUUACUUUUGAGAAGGAUUUCAACCGUUAGUCAGACACGCAAGAUCCGCGGUCUUCAGCUCUGACGGAAUGACGUUGGAGAUUCUUGGGAUUUGACCUUGCACACACGACUGACCCAGAACAGGUAGACAACCGGUAAAACGAAUGUACUCACAUAUUGCCGGCUGCUACUUACGUUCUUGACUCCAUUUUCUUCCACGAAGGAAGUAAAUCCAAGGAUUUGGAACAUGGCCGUGGAUCGUUAGGACUACCAAAAAGAUGAUUUUGUCCUUCCGUUUAUUCAGAUCGCCGCUCAACGAUCCGCAUUUGUGUAAUUUUUGACACGAGUUGCGUAUUUCAUAAAAUUUGAUAAUUAUUUCGAAAAAUAUUAUUUGAAAAAUACAUUUUAACAAAUUUAUUUAUUUUUCUUAUUUAUCUUUCUUUUUUUUUUAUUUAAGUUUAACAGAUGAAUCGAUAAAGGAAGAAAAUUUAAGGAAGUUUAAAGGAUAAGGAAUUCGCGAUUGAUUUAUCCAAACGAUGUCAGAAAUCGUUCUAGGAAAUUUUAAGGUCUGUCGAUGAACGAUGAGUAAAGAAAAACUAAUAAAUUGUGUUAUUAUGAAAUAAUGAGCAUGAAACACGAAAGCGUAAUAUGUUCAUUAAUCAUUCAGGAAAGUUAUAUUUCUUGCACUAGUGAUCUUAAAUAGGUAUACAUCUAUAUAUCGAUAAGAAUACUUAUGAGUGAUCAUUAUACAUGGAUUAAACAAAUAAGAUUAUAUUAUUCUAUAAUGAACACGAUACAAAGGAAAAUUUUCCUUCUGAUAAUUAUCAUGAAACGUAACAAUUUCUUAUAUCUUAUAUCUAAAACGUAACAAUUAUUUUAUAUCUUAGUAUCAUUAUAUUAUUGAUAUUAGUAUUAGUUUUAUAUAAACGAUUACUUACUAACUACUACUUAUCAAUACUUAACUUCGAAUAUUUAACAAUUCAUCAGUAAUCAGUAAUAAUCCA